AAUCACGAUGGUGGAUGUCUUUCAUUCGACUUCCGCUCGCUCCGCAUUAUCCUGCUCGUUCAUUUUCUUGUGUACAAGAUAACUCACCCACGAUGUGCGAGGAGCCAAGAAUCAAAUCUCCAACCCAAUCGAAAGCACUGUCCUUCGACAAGAGCUCCCGCGAUUCUUAUCAAACGUUAAUCAUCGAGAUGGUCUAUCGAGACAUCACACUAUUGCACGGUGAUCGCGCCGGUAUCUCGAAUUUCGUUGUAAUCUAGCAGAGAACUGAACGCCAACAAAGCGAUAAAGAAUAAUAAUCUUCUGCUAUUACUGCGAAUAGUUACGAUAGAAAAUUUCUUGGUAAACGGUAGAAACAGAUUUCCUCGUGUAUCGCGAUGGAUUAAGCGAUAGCGAUUAGUAAUAAAUACACCAAAGUUUUGUCAAACUGGUUGAAAACUGUGCGUAAAAUCGUCGGAGCAUCAUGUUUUGCAGAUUCUUCUCCGCUGCGAAGAUUCUCGUGCUGACUAAUUUCGUUCUCAUUGCGUCAGCGGUGCCAUUUCACGAUGUACGAGCGACUGACGAGCAAGUAAUAGUCAUUUCAACCGAAGUUGACAGCUCAUUGGAGGAUCGAAUGGCAGCCGGCAAGACGAAUCUCACGGGGCGUGUUUUCCUCGGGGAUCUGAGAGUUGGGAAUCAUGCCGAGAAGUUGUACACACAGCGGUACAGACCGGAAAGUUCGAGUCGUGGGGUGUACGUGAAACGAAAGUCAUUUUCAACGCCAGCUCUCCAGGAAAAUCGGCUCUAUCAAUUCGCGAUCGAGAACUCGGCUGAGCUAUUGAAUCUUUUAUUUUUUUCGCCUCUUCUCUCCUGAACACCGUGACAUUUCUCAUUACUUCAGCCUCGAAAAUGCAGACGGAAACUACCCAGUAACUUGACGCGAUCCAAACACCUUGAACUCUCCGUUUGUCGAAGGUACCUUCCGCCUUGCAGCAUGGACCACCUCGACCAUGACGGGGUUGGGGUCCACUAAAGAGCUUCAUUUCUUCAUACAUGUGAAUCUGUUGAUAAAAAUCCUCAUCGAGAACAUAAGAAGAAAACUCGUUUAUUGUUUCGGUGUUUUUUUCAAGAACGUAAAAGAAAACGAACUUUUUGUUCCCUCCUCAAAUUUCUCGAUUCAAUUCCCCUAUGGAAAAACUGUAUGCUGGAAAAAAUAUAUUGAAUAAUAUAGGAAAGAUGUGAGAUUGUAUGUAGCGACGAAAUAUUCUAUGUUUCGAUAUGCUUUUUAAAUAUAAGCCAACAAUAAGAGUCAUCGAUGAGAAGAACUGAUAAUCACAAAAAGCAUAUUUUCAGUAAUUUAUUCUCUAAAAAAUGGAAUAACAAAAAACGAUAUUUGAAGAAAGUUUAUUCGAAAAAAAUCGAAAAGGAGAAAUUUGACAGUUUUUGAACGAAACGAUUCGCGUGGAAUUCGCUAAUUUAUAACCCAUUUUGAAUAAUCUCAGUAAACAAACUGCGAAAUGAUGCUUCAAAUAGUAAUAUAAUAGCAAGAAAAUAGAAUUCACAUUAUUCGUCCCGAAUGGAUUUAUUCGUGUGCAGUCGUACCCACAUCUACAGACAGAGUCCAAAGGAGGUAAUUGAAACGAGAGAAUAAUACAAUGAACAAGUAUACUCCGAGUGUUAAUGUAUCAGAGCUACACUCGUUGCUGCCCUGAAGAAGCAGAACCACGGACGAUGGAAGAUACGAGUAGAACGAGAGCCACGAUCACGAAAUCCUAGAAUUAAU
This 1759-nucleotide long non-coding RNA is filed under the name Venturia canescens. RNAcentral describes it as "uncharacterized LOC122411707, transcript variant X4". Lineage: Eukaryota; Metazoa; Arthropoda; Insecta; Hymenoptera; Ichneumonidae. The record is from RNAcentral.